Long non-coding RNA from Chiroxiphia lanceolata (lance-tailed manakin), 353 nucleotides. RefSeq lists it as uncharacterized. The transcript is spliced from 3 exons. The record is from RefSeq and is a predicted model, not a curated record. NCBI's taxonomy places the organism in Eukaryota, Metazoa, Chordata, Aves, Passeriformes, Pipridae.
UGCAGGUCUGGAUUCCACUCCUGCCAUUGUCAUGCCUUCUUGAGGAGUAUCCAGGGAACAUUUUACACUCCCAGACUCCAUAAAUUCCCUGGGCUGAUACCAGAGGCUGAGAUGUAUGCACUUGACUGAGACAUUCACCGGGGAUUUGCUGAGGCCAAAAUUAAAUCAGCUGUUGCACCGAGAAGGGAGGGAGUCCUAUCUGCACGUGCCUCUUGCCCAGAGUGUCAGAGAGUUUGGACCCAGGUGUCUGAGUUCUGCCACAAAAGCUCUGCUGUGCACGAGAACAUUUCAGGAUACUGCUGCAAGCACUUCAGUGUGAUUUGCUGAAUGCUAUCUAACUAAUACUUUGGAUA